ACAUGCAGAGAACUUUCCAGAGAUGGAUUGGUGCCUUCGGGAACUCUGACACAGGUGCUGCAUGGCUGUCGUCAGCUCGUGUCGUGAGGAUGUUGGGUUAAGUCCGUAACGAGCGCAACCCUUGUCCUUAGUUACCAGCACGUUAUGGUGGGCACUCUAAGGAGACUGCCGGUGACAACCGGAGGAAGGUGGGGAGUGACGUCAAGUCAUCAUGGCCCUUACGGCCUGGGCUACACACGUGCUACAAUGGUCGGUACAAAGGGUUGCCAAGCCGCGAGGUGGAGCUAAUCCCAUAAAACCGAUCGUAGUCCGGAUCGCAGUCUGCAACUCGACUGCGUGAAGUCGGAAUCGCUAGUAAUCGUGAAUCAGAAUGUCACGGUGAAUACGUUCCCGGGCCUU
This 399-nucleotide ribosomal RNA is filed under the name uncultured Pseudomonas sp. RNAcentral's name for it is "bacterial SSU rRNA". It matches the Rfam family "Bacterial small subunit ribosomal RNA", at positions 984 to 1382 of the family's 1533-position model. The record is from RNAcentral. Lineage: Bacteria; Pseudomonadati; Pseudomonadota; Gammaproteobacteria; Pseudomonadales; Pseudomonadaceae.